CGCGGCCUAUCAGCUUGUUGGUGGGGUAAUGGCCUACCAAGGCGUCGACGGGUAGCCGGCCUGAGAGGGUGUACGGCCACAUUGGGACUGAGAUACGGCCCAGACUCCUACGGGAGGCAGCAGUGGGGAAUAUUGCACAAUGGGCGCAAGCCUGAUGCAGCGACGCCGCGUGGGGGAUGACGGCCUUCGGGUUGUAAACUCCUUUCGCUAGGGACGAAGAGGAAUUGACGGUACCUGGAAAAGAAGCACCGGCUAACUACGUGCCAGCAGCCGCGGUAAUACGUGGGGUGCGAGCGUUGUCCGGAAUUACUGGGCGUAAAGAGCUCGUAGGUGGUUUGUCGCGUCGUUUGUGUAAGUCCGCAGCUUAACUGCGGGACUGCAGGCGAUACGGGCAUAACUUGAGUGCUGUAGGGGAGACUGGAAUUCCUGGUGUAGCGGUGGAAUGCGCAGAUAUCAGGAGGAACACCGAUGGCGAAGGCAGGUCUCUGGGCAGUAACUGACGCUGAGGAGCGAAAGCAUGGGGAGCGAACAGGAUUAGAUACCCGGUAGUCCAUGCCGUAAACGGUGGGCGCUAGGUGUGAGUCCCUUCCACGGGGUUCGUGCCGUAGCUAACGCAUUAAGCGCCCCGCCUGGGGAGUACGG
RNAcentral lists this ribosomal RNA (642 nucleotides) under uncultured bacterium. RNAcentral describes it as "bacterial SSU rRNA". It matches the Rfam family "Bacterial small subunit ribosomal RNA", at positions 232 to 885 of the family's 1533-position model. The record is from RNAcentral.